This is a long non-coding RNA of Peromyscus eremicus (cactus mouse), 406 nucleotides long. RefSeq lists it as uncharacterized. The transcript has 2 exons. Lineage: Eukaryota; Metazoa; Chordata; Mammalia; Rodentia; Cricetidae. The record is from RefSeq and is a predicted model, not a curated record.
CCAAAUAUCUAAGGCGUGUGCUGUGUUACACACUCAAGCUCAUGUGAGCUGGAAGAGGCUUCAUCUGUGACCCCAGCACCCCAAAAUUCCUCCUUAUUCCAGAGGCUUUCUGGGGACAAUCUUGGUCUCUUUUCGUGAAAAUGUAUUUUCCAGACUAUUUCAGAAUUCUCUUUUACAAGAAAGGAGUGUGGACUACAAUUACAAAUACUUCAGCCCUUCCCACCUGAUAAUGAACUCGGCUUCGUGUGCAGAUCUGUGCUGUUCACUUUGUUCCAAAGGCAGACCAACUAUAAAUAAGAUGUCAUCACUCAACAGCAAGGAAGAGCUCAAAGGAAGGGAAACCACAGCAUUGCAUCAGAAGGGCCACAAAUAGGCUUUAAAUAGCACACCAGAUCGUAAUGACCUC